AGAGCGAACGCUGGCGGCAGGCUUAACACAUGCAAGUCGAGCGGGCGUAGCAAUACGUCAGCGGCAGACGGGUGAGUAACGCGUGGGAACGUACCUUUUGGUUCGGAACAACACAGGGAAACUUGUGCUAAUACCGGAUAAGCCCUUACGGGGAAAGAUUUAUCGCCAAAAGAUCGGCCCGCGUCUGAUUAGCUAGUUGGUGAGGUAACGGCUCACCAAGGCGACGAUCAGUAGCUGGUCUGAGAGGAUGAUCAGCCACAUUGGGACUGAGACACGGCCCAAACUCCUACGGGAGGCAGCAGUGGGGAAUAUUGGACAAUGGGCGCAAGCCUGAUCCAGCCAUGCCGCGUGAGUGAUGAAGGCCCUAGGGUUGUAAAGCUCUUUUGUGCGGGAAGAUAAUGACGGUACCGCAAGAUAAGCCCCGGCUAACUUCGUGCCAGCAGCCGC
This 447-nucleotide ribosomal RNA is filed under the name uncultured bacterium. RNAcentral's name for it is "SSU rRNA". It matches the Rfam family "Bacterial small subunit ribosomal RNA", at positions 26 to 518 of the family's 1533-position model. The record is from RNAcentral.